UACAGAGGGGGCAAGCGUUGUUCGGAAUUACUGGGCGUAAAGGGCGCGUAGGCGGCACGGCAAGUCAGGAGUGAAAGCCCGGGGCUCAACCCCGGAAUGUCUUUUGAAACUGCCGAGCUAGAGUGCGGAAGAGGCAACUGGAAUUCCCAGUGUAGCGGUGAAAUGCGUAGAUAUUGGGAAGAACACCUGAGGCGAAGGCGGGUUGCUGGGCCGACACUGACGCUGAGGCGCGAAAACCAGGGGAGCGAACGGG
Molecule: ribosomal RNA, 253 nt
Filed under: uncultured bacterium
Lineage: Bacteria
Description: partial 16S ribosomal RNA
Rfam family: Bacterial small subunit ribosomal RNA
Source: RNAcentral